AGAGUUUGAUCCUGGCUCAGGACGAACGCUGGCGGCGUGGAUUAGGCAUGCAAGCCGAACGAGAAAUCGAGCUUCGGCUCGAUGGAAAGUGGCGAAAGGGUGAGUAACGCGUGGGUAAUUUGCCUCUGAGAUGGGGAUAACAGUCUGAAAAGACUGCUAAUACCAAAUACGAUUCGGUUGACUUUGGUCGGCUGAAUGAAAGGUGGCUUCGGCUGCCGCUCGGAGAUAAGCCCGCGUCCUAUUAGUUUGUUGGUGAGGUAAUGGCUCACCAAGGCGACGAUGGGUAGCUGGUCUGAGAGGAUGAUCAGCCACAUUGGGACUGAGACACUGCCCAAACUCCUACGGGAGGCUGCAGUCGAGAGUAUUUCGCAAUGGGGGAAACCCUGACGAUGCGACGCCGCGUGGGGGAUGAAGGCCUUCGGGUUGUAAACCUCUGUGUUACGGGAUGAAUUGAGCGUUGCUGAUAACGCAGCGUUUUUGACGUUACCGUAGUAGAAAGCCCCAGCUAACUACGUGCCAGCAGCUGCGGUAAUACGUAGGGGGCAAGCGUUGUCCGGAAUCACUGGGCGUAAAGCGCGCGCAGGCGGUGGAGUAAGUCAGACGUGAAAGGGUUCGGCUCAACCGAGCCAUUGCGUUUGAUACUACUUCGCUUGAGUCUAGAAGAGGAAAGUGGAAUGUAUGGUGUAGCGGUGGAAUGCUUAGAUAUCAUAUAGAACACCCGUGGCGAAGGCGGCUUUCUGGUCUAAGACUGACGCUCAUGCGCGAAAGUUUGGGGAGCAACCGGGAUUAGAUACCCCGCUAGUCCUUACUGUAAACGAUGGGUACUAAGUGUAGGGGGUGUUGAUUCCCUCUGUGCUGUAGCUAACGCAUUAAGUACCCCGCCUGGGGAGUACGGCCGCAAGGUUAAAACUCAAGGUAAUUGACGGGGGGCCGCACAAGCGGUGGAGCAUGUCGCUUAAUUCGACGCAACGCGAAGAACCUUAUCCAGGGCUUGACAUCGCAGUGACCGCUAUAGAAAUAUAGUUUUCCUUCGGGACACUAUGACAGGUGCUGCAUGGCUGUCGUCAGCUCGUG
This 1074-nucleotide ribosomal RNA is filed under the name uncultured bacterium. Its description in RNAcentral is "bacterial SSU rRNA". It matches the Rfam family "Bacterial small subunit ribosomal RNA", at positions 8 to 1064 of the family's 1533-position model. The record is from RNAcentral.